Molecule: long non-coding RNA, 1572 nt
Organism: Aedes albopictus (Asian tiger mosquito)
Lineage: Eukaryota; Metazoa; Arthropoda; Insecta; Diptera; Culicidae
Exons: 3
Source: RefSeq, a predicted model, not a curated record
GACCAUACAAAUUGUGUAGAAAUAUAGUCUAAUUAUAUGUUAUUUAUUAUGUGUGUAACUAAAAUAAACACAGUACAUACGCCAAGUCAGCCCUUCAUCACCAUUGACAGCAGCCAACUUCACUCUUGCAUUGCGCACACCUCGGCGCACACACACACCAACGUCGUCACACCAGAGCUUCCGGUAAAACUGCAGUCGAUAGAAGCACGAGUAAAAAGCUAAAUUUGUUUAACAUAAAGAACAAUUAAAACCAGCUUCAGAUUACUAGAACCCACUCUUUAGAAUCGCAUGCAAAGGGAGCCGGAAUAAGCUGCAUGCUGAAAUCGUGUAAGUAAAGUGGAUAAUCUUCACUCGCCUAGAUAAUUCACGUUGAUGCUCCCGUGUAGGUUAGGGCAAAUUGCCUGUCACCGUGUUAGCAGGCGUCCGAAGGAGAAUCAAGCACCAGCCACUGAAACAGACCACACAAAACAGCAGCGGAAGAAUAGGUAACAUCCAAUGAUUCGCCCACUUGGUAUGAAACUACAUCCUGAAACGUUUUAGAUCUACCCCCCGAUCGGCACGAGUCGCACAGCACACGAGACGUCCGGGAAGCUUAUUGUACGGUACCUCUUCCCAGCAAAGUUGCUCUCAUUGACCAUUUUCACGCUCCCAGUAUCCGGUUCAAGAACGCACAUCACCAGUUCCUCCUGAGCCACAGAUAUCGGUCGAAAACCCCAAGAAAGUCGGAAUCCGGUCUGGUACUACUGACCGAACACAGGAAGUUACGCCCGUGAGAAGACGAGCCUUCAAACGAAGGCUCGUUAUAUGGGAGUUACUUCCGUCCGGAUUUCCAUCGCAACGGGUUGAUCCGCGAGUGAAUGGGCCAGCCAAGCUUCACCUUUACAUCUCAGUGACUCGGUGACGAAGUGUGCGAAACGUCGAGGGGCCGCUGGACGAAGGUGGUGAGAGCUCAAGUAGAACCAGCAGGUUUCGACUUUACCGCUCAGUAAUAACUGCGUCGGCGAUUCAAUCGGCAGGGGCGACCUUGCACACACUCAACGGGUGAGCAGCACGACAUUCGUCUCGGUGGCGAGUCCUUCGGCCGUCGCUAACGUAUCUGCCACGGGAAGAAGGACGGGUGUGUGCGCAGAAAGUGCAUGCAAAUGUGUGUCAGUGGUUUAGUGAUGACUCGGGCAAUUUCGGGCUAGCGCCCGUGAACCUUGCCAGGUGUCUUCGAAGCAUCGUUCCAGGACGGGGCCCCGUCGACGGCAGCGGCAGAACUUCAGUUGCAGCAUAAGGUUAGAUAGUAUAAGCUAGGAUUAAGAGAAUGCCCAAUUAUAGUAUCAUGUCACUACGAAUUCCUAUCGGUCACUUCCGUAUCCCUAUGUAAUACCUUCUACAUUGAUAGUAUUGACUGAGCAGUCGACCUCAUAAACUUGAUAUCAUCCUAGCCGGUGCAAACUAAGAAUGAUUGAGGUAUUGCCCACUCAAUGCAUUAGAAUAAAUUGCCUUACUAUGAAAUGAAAUCAUAGACUAUUUCCUUACCUUUAAUGGAUAAUAGAGCUAGCAUGUUAGGACAGAAGAAGUAAUAUC